AUGGCAGCUCUGUUUCAGCCUCGACGUGCGUUGGUGGAGAUUCCCGCACCACAGCCUAAAAUUGCAGCUCAAAUGAGGAGAUCGUAUCUGGAAAUUCUCAGUGCUCGUUUAGCUCCACCUGCACUCCCAAGAACUAGAAACCCACACGCAAGGCGUGCACACUCAUUGGACCUGUCCAUCAAUGGGAUGUGGACAGAGAGGCUAGAGGACUCGUGUGAGAAGCCAGACGAGCAUCCGACUCCACUUUCCAAACAGCAGCUGGAGCAGCUGGUUAGAUCCCUGAUUUUAGUCGAGCAGAGCCAAGAGCUGAGGAUUCUGGCACCAGAAAUAAAAGUCCUACAGGAGGAUCUGCAGCUGAAGAAGGCAAAUGUUUACAGAUCUAUACCGUACUCGCGCUUCGGCUCCAACAGGGAUGCCCACUGCUACAGGAAGGCCUUUCCUUAUCUGCUGGCAUUCAAAGUUUCGUGCCAGGAGUGGGGCCAAGUACUCCUAAGGAGAAAGGAGUGGGACGCCGUGUUGGAGCACUCCCUGAUGGCGUGGCUAUACACCAGUGAGUUACCGCAGUGGGACACGGCGAGCCACAAUGCACUCAGAGAGCAGUGCUACGGCGUUCUGGCGGCUCACAUCCUCACUGCUCUGCAGCACUGCAGCCUGGAGCCCAGCAGGGGGCACGAGCUACUCAGGAGGUUGAAGAUGGCUCAACUUCAAAGCCAGUCCAUCGUUCCCUGUAUUCAGGAGCUGCAAAGGAUUCUGGGAUGGGCUCAGCAUCUGGAUUGUGAUCUGUGA
This 786-nucleotide long non-coding RNA is filed under the name Nothobranchius furzeri (turquoise killifish). Its description in RNAcentral is "lncRNA (ENSNFUG00015001207.1)". Lineage: Eukaryota; Metazoa; Chordata; Actinopteri; Cyprinodontiformes; Nothobranchiidae. The record is from RNAcentral.